UGGGGAGUUUCCCGAGCGGUCAAAGGGGGCAGACUGUAAAUCUGUUGGCUACGCCUUCAUAGGUCCGAAUCCUAUACUCCCCAU
This 84-nucleotide transfer RNA is filed under the name Termitinemataceae bacterium. Its description in RNAcentral is "tRNA-Tyr". It matches the Rfam family "tRNA". From Rfam's summary of the family: Transfer RNA (tRNA) molecules are approximately 80 nucleotides in length. Their secondary structure includes four short double-helical elements and three loops (D, anti-codon, and T loops). Lineage: Bacteria; Pseudomonadati; Spirochaetota; Spirochaetia; Spirochaetales; Termitinemataceae. The record is from RNAcentral.